UCAACAUCAGACUCUCUCUACCUCUGGAGGUUGAAUAUCAGGAUAACAACACAUACAGAUGUGUACUCAACAAUCCCAUCACAAACCAAACUCAACAUCUCAACAUCAAGAAUCUCUGUCAGACGUGUUCAGGUCUCAGUACAGAUGAUGUCAUUGUGAUCUUUCGUGUUGUUGCUGCUGUUGCUCCUGGAUUUCUGAUGUGUGUCGCUUCAGUUCUGAUGUUCUGGAUCUACAGUAAACACAGAAACACACAUCAACAGAUUCAGACUGGGGAACUGGAGAUGACUUCUCCAGACACAACACAUAAGACG
This is a non-coding RNA of Paramisgurnus dabryanus, 311 nucleotides long. Lineage: Eukaryota; Metazoa; Chordata; Actinopteri; Cypriniformes; Cobitidae. The record is from RefSeq and is a predicted model, not a curated record.